RNAcentral lists this ribosomal RNA (1372 nucleotides) under uncultured bacterium. RNAcentral describes it as "bacterial SSU rRNA". It matches the Rfam family "Bacterial small subunit ribosomal RNA", at positions 28 to 1381 of the family's 1533-position model. The record is from RNAcentral.
GAUGAACGCUGGCGGCGUGCCUAAUACAUGCAAGUCGAGCGAACGGACGAGAAGCUUGCUUCUCUGAUGUUAGCGGCGGACGGGUGAGUAACACGUGGAUAACCUACCUAUAAGACUGGGAUAACUUCGGGAAACCGGAGCUAAUACCGGAUAAUAUUUUGAACCGCAUGGUUCAAAAGUGAAAGACGGUCUUGCUGUCACUUAUAGAUGGAUCCGCGCUGCAUUAGCUAGUUGGUAAGGUAACGGCUUACCAAGGCAACGAUGCAUAGCCGACCUGAGAGGGUGAUCGGCCACACUGGAACUGAGACACGGUCCAGACUCCUACGGGAGGCAGCAGUAGGGAAUCUUCCGCAAUGGGCGAAAGCCUGACGGAUCAACGCCGCGUGAGUGAUGAAGGUCUUCGGAUCGUAAAACUCUGUUAUUAGGGAAGAACAUAUGUGUAAGUAACUGUGCACAUCUUGACGGUACCUAAUCAGAAAGCCACGGCUAACUACGUGCCAGCAGCCGCGGUAAUACGUAGGUGGCAAGCGUUAUCCGGAAUUAUUGGGCGUAAAGCGCGCGUAGGCGGUUUUUUAAGUCUGAUGUGAAAGCCCACGGCUCAACCGUGGAGGGUCAUUGGAAACUGGAAAACUUGAGUGCAGAAGAGGAAAGUGGAAUUCCAUGUGUAGCGGUGAAAUGCGCAGAGAUAUGGAGGAACACCAGUGGCGAAGGCGACUUUCUGGUCUGUAACUGACGCUGAUGUGCGAAAGCGUGGGGAUCAAACAGGAUUAGAUACCCUGGUAGUCCACGCCGUAAACGAUGAGUGCUAAGUGUUAGGGGGUUUCCGCCCCUUAGUGCUGCAGCUAACGCAUUAAGCACUCCGCCUGGGGAGUACGACCGCAAGGUUGAAACUCAAAGGAAUUGACGGGGACCCGCACAAGCGGUGGAGCAUGUGGUUUAAUUCGAAGCAACGCGAAGAACCUUACCAAAUCUUGACAUCCUUUGACAACUCUAGAGAUAGAGCCUUCCCCUUCGGGGGACAAAGUGACAGGUGGUGCAUGGUUGUCGUCAGCUCGUGUCGUGAGACGUUGGGUUAAGUCCCGCAACGAGCGCAACCCUUAAGCUUAGUUGCCAUCAUUAAGUUGGGCACUCUAAGUUGACUGCCGGUGACAAACCGGAGGAAGGUGGGGAUGACGUCAAAUCAUCAUGCCCCUUAUGAUUUGGGCUACACACGUGCUACAAUGGACAAUACAAAGGGUAGCGAAACCGCGAGGUCAAGCAAAUCCCAUAAAGUUGUUCUCAGUUCGGAUUGUAGUCUGCAACUCGACUACAUGAAGCUGGAAUCGCUAGUAAUCGUAGAUCAGCAUGCUACGGUGAAUACGUUCCCGGGUCU